GUGAGCACAAAUGCUUAAUCUUCUAUAUGGGCAGAAAGUUUAGUAUGACUGGUUUAUACAACCAUUGGUUUCCAGGAUGUUUUGAUACAGGGUUUAGAUCUCCCUUCGAUGAUAUUGUGGGCAAGGAAGCAAGGAGUAUGUCUUUGUUGCCAACUCAGACAACUUGGGUGCCAAUUUUCUCGUCUCUGGCUUGUUAGGCUGUUUACUGAAUGUUGACUGUUCUGCCCCAAAGUCUGGUGAAUCGACUUGAAUGGACUGUGUUGUGCUGUACUACAUGGCAAAUCUGUGUAAUCUCCGCAUUGAUAGCAUGUAAAGCACAUUCUACCGAUUUCCUAUUAUCCUAUGUCCUGUUACUUGGCCAA
Long non-coding RNA from Lolium perenne, 362 nucleotides. RefSeq lists it as uncharacterized. The record is from RefSeq and is a predicted model, not a curated record. NCBI's taxonomy places the organism in Eukaryota, Viridiplantae, Streptophyta, Magnoliopsida, Poales, Poaceae.